This 288-nucleotide ribosomal RNA is filed under the name uncultured bacterium. RNAcentral's name for it is "partial 16S ribosomal RNA". It matches the Rfam family "Bacterial small subunit ribosomal RNA", at positions 1091 to 1388 of the family's 1533-position model. The record is from RNAcentral.
CACGAGCGCACCCUUGUCCUAGUUGCUACCCAGAGUACUCUAGGGAGACUGCCGGUGACAAACCGGAGGAAGGUGGGGAUGACGUCUAGUCCUCAUGGCCCUUAUGGGUAGGGCUUCACACGUCAUACAAUGGUCGGAACAGAGGGUCGCCAACCCGCGAGGGGGAGCCAAUCCCAAAAAACCAAUAGUAGUCCGGAUCGCAUUCUGCAACUCGACUGCGUGAAGCUGGAAUCGCUAGUAAUCGCGGAUCAGCAUGCCGCGGUGAAUACGUUCCCGGGUCUUGUACAC